RNAcentral lists this ribosomal RNA (549 nucleotides) under uncultured Chlorophyta. RNAcentral describes it as "SSU rRNA". It matches the Rfam family "Eukaryotic small subunit ribosomal RNA", at positions 595 to 1156 of the family's 1831-position model. The record is from RNAcentral. Lineage: Eukaryota; Viridiplantae; Chlorophyta.
UAGCGUAUAUUUAAGUUGUUGCAGUUAAAAAGCUCGUAGUUGGAUUUUGGUUAAGAGGCCGCGGUCGGCCGUUUGGUCUGUACUGCGUUGUCUUGACUUCCUGAUGAGGACAUGCUCUUGGUUAACGCUGAGACAUGGAGUCAUCGUGGUUACUUUGAAAAAAUUAGAGUGUUCAAAGCGGGCUUACGCUUGAAUAUAUUAGCAUGGAAUAACACUAUAGGACUCCUGUCCUAUCUCGUUGGUCUCGGGAUGGGAGUAAUGAUUAAGAGGAACAGUUGGGGGCAUUCGUAUUUCAUUGUCAGAGGUGAAAUUCUUGGAUUUAUGAAAGACGAACUUCUGCGAAAGCAUUUGCCAAGGAUGUUUUCAUUAAUCAAGAACGAAAGUUGGGGGCUCGAAGAUGAUUAGAUACCAUCCUAGUCUCAACCAUAAACGAUGCCGACUAGGGAUUGGUGGAUGUUAAUUGAUGACUUCACCAGCACCUUAUGAGAAAUCAAAGUUUUUGGGUUCCGGGGGGAGUAUGGUCGCAAGGCUGAAACUUAAAGGAAUUGA